RNAcentral lists this ribosomal RNA (253 nucleotides) under uncultured bacterium. RNAcentral's name for it is "partial 16S ribosomal RNA". It matches the Rfam family "Bacterial small subunit ribosomal RNA", at positions 524 to 776 of the family's 1533-position model. The record is from RNAcentral.
GACGAACUGUCCUAACGUUGUUCGGAAUCACUGGGCUUAAAGGGCGCGUAGGCGGUCGACCAAGUCAGGGGUGAAAUCCUGCAGCUUAACUGUAGAAGUGCCUUUGAUACUGGUCGUCUCGAGGGAGGUAGGGGUGUGCGGAACUUCCAGUGGAGCGGUGAAAUGCGUUGAUAUUGGAAGGAACGCCGGAGGCGAAAGCGGCGCACUGGACCUCUUCUGACGCUGAGGCGCGAAAGCUAGGGGAGCAAACGGG